GUGGACGUGCCGGAGUGGUUAUCGGGAAUGACUAGAAAUCAUGGGGGCUUUGCCCGCGCAGGUUUGAAUCUUGCCGUUUACG
Transfer RNA from Arabidopsis thaliana (thale cress), 82 nucleotides. It matches the Rfam family "tRNA". Rfam says of the family: Transfer RNA (tRNA) molecules are approximately 80 nucleotides in length. Their secondary structure includes four short double-helical elements and three loops (D, anti-codon, and T loops). Lineage: Eukaryota; Viridiplantae; Streptophyta; Magnoliopsida; Brassicales; Brassicaceae. The record is from Rfam.